UGUGUCUAUUUGCUCACUUCCUGUCCCCCCACCAGAGUAAACCCCUUCGUUGCAGCAGAGACGGUCAUGUUCACCCCUGUAUGCGCGAUGCUGAUUGUCGUCCCAGCACUGUCCUAGGUCCUGGGGAAACAGCAGGGGACAACAAAGACUAAGGGGACAACAAAGCUCCUGAUCUCAUGGAGCUUUGAUUCAAGUUUUGGGGCCACAGGAGGAUAAAGAGGGACAGGGACUUUGGGGAUACAGAGAAUACCCCAACAAGAUUGAUG
Molecule: long non-coding RNA, 266 nt
Organism: Hipposideros armiger (great roundleaf bat)
Lineage: Eukaryota; Metazoa; Chordata; Mammalia; Chiroptera; Hipposideridae
Exons: 3
Source: RefSeq, a predicted model, not a curated record